GGGAAAUGAAAUAACUUGGGCAGGAACUUGAUUGGUAGCAGGUUCAUCUUUGGUCCGCGGUGGGGAAUCUAAUGGAGAUGAGGAAUGACCCAGACUGGCAACUUGACAAGCCUUUGGCACAGGUGUGGACAUGUUUGGAGCAAAGAAGGCUGAAGGACAAGUAUGCACCAUCUUUUGCUCUCUGAGAGACCAGAAUGUGGCUAUCAUGGAGCCCUUCGAUUUUAACAGAGAUCCUUUCUCUAUAACUAAUUCAACGCAUGGCUAUAUGGGUAAUUUUGAACAAGUGGAUCUUUCUCCAACCUGAAAGGCUGCCAGGACAAAGAGGGAGUGAGAAAAAGAGGGUUUCAAAAGCAGUCAUAGAGAACCACAAAAUAAUCACGAAGCACUUCUGUAUUGCCACAAUCUCCUUACAGAAGUGCAUUGAGAGGUGAUGAUAUGGAACAGAGAGGACACAUCGUUGCAAUAAAAUACUCUAUAAUACCUGGG
This 486-nucleotide long non-coding RNA is filed under the name Rhinopithecus roxellana (golden snub-nosed monkey). RNAcentral's name for it is "lncRNA (ENSRROG00000045853.1)". The record is from RNAcentral. Lineage: Eukaryota; Metazoa; Chordata; Mammalia; Primates; Cercopithecidae.